Molecule: ribosomal RNA, 253 nt
Filed under: uncultured bacterium
Lineage: Bacteria
Description: partial 16S ribosomal RNA
Rfam family: Bacterial small subunit ribosomal RNA
Source: RNAcentral
UACGUAGGGUGCAAGCGUUAAUCGGAAUUACUGGGCGUAAAGCGUGCGUAGACGGCUAUCUAAGUCGGGUGUGAAAGCCCCGGGCUCAACCUGGGAAUUGCAUUCGAGACUGAAUAGCUAGGGUGCGGUAGAGGGAAGCGGAAUUUCCGGUGUAGCGGUGAAAUGCGUAGAUAUCGGAAGGAACAUCAGUGGCGAAAGCGGCUUCCUGGACCAGCACCGACGUUCAGGCACGAAAGCGUGGGGAGCAAACAGG